This 1612-nucleotide long non-coding RNA is filed under the name Prunus persica (peach). Its description in RNAcentral is "long non-coding RNA (PPER_LNC000045)". Lineage: Eukaryota; Viridiplantae; Streptophyta; Magnoliopsida; Rosales; Rosaceae. The record is from RNAcentral.
CCAUCAUUUACUUUUCUUUCUUUCCUUUUUCCUUUUUUUUGUUUUUGUUUUUGUUUUUUUUGUUUUGUUUUUUUGUUUAGAUGUGAUGUGGAAUGUCACUUUGAUGCAUUGUAAAUAGUUUGGGUACCAAAUUAUUAUGGAUGACAAAAAUAGGACUCUAGUGCUAAAAACAAAGUUCUUAAGCAUCGGACUCUACUGAUUGGACCAUGAAUUUCUAUGGGCCAAAAUGUUGUUUUUGAUGUAAAAGUAAGAACAAGACAUCUAUCUAACAUUGGAACAGAACGAACAAAAUAGAGGCAACCAAAUGCUAUUCUUUGUGAUUAAAAAAAAAAAAAAGGAUUGAAAUGCAAGUCUUAUUAAACUAUUUGUUGGGCCAUGUGACAACGACUGUUUGGUUUUCAAGUAGACUAUUUGUUGGGCCAAUGUCUUAACAUUAUUUAGGUGCAGUGCAGGAUAGAUUCUGGUAUCUGAGAAGGCAAGGGACAAAUUAUUUGGGCACACUGUUUUUCUUUCUUCUUCUUUUUUUCUUAUAAAUAGCAACACUUUUCAUGCUUUUAUUUUAAAUAGUGCUGGUCGAUAUGGGAAGCAGCUAGAUGCAUAUGGUAUAUCCCCAACAUUCGGUUGAACAUAAUCAUUUGUCUUUCUUACAAAAAAAAAAAAACAAAACAGAAUCAUUUCUAAUAGAAAAUGAUCAGACAUACCUUACGUACUCAUUUGUGUCUUUCCCCAUCACUAUGUUUUUCUUAUAAAUCAGCAUUUUGUGCGGCGCAAAUGGACAUGCGAUGUGGUUACAAAAUGGUAGUUUCAAUGUGUCAUCAAAAUUUGUGGGCGGCAAAAGAGAGAAGUGUCUUGAUUAAUCUUCUUUGGCAUUUUAUUUCCACAUUGUGUUUCAAAGCCCCCAAAACAAAAAUUCGGUGAUUACAACAAUGAAAUGGAGUGCUUGCCAAGAAGAGAGCAAAGUAAUGCAUGUUUGGCAAUCUUUGUCAACACUCGAAACUCAAAAGGGCCAAGUGACGACAAACAGGUAAUCCAUGUUGACAUCCCACGGCCUAUCAACCUAAUGAAUCCAACUAAAAAUGUAGCUAAGAUAAGCUUCAUGGUGCAUUGGAUUCAUGAAAACAUUUGCCUGGCUCAUGUCUGUUUUAGGUGAGGCAUCUUGCAGUUUCCUUCAGUAGCCUCCAAGGAAUAUGACAAUUUGAGAGGUUGGGAAGCGCACACAGAACAGAAGUCAGAACACAACAAUAAGUUAACACUGGGGAAAUAGUUAAUCAGAACAUGAUUAUUAGACAAAGAUAUUCUAAACAUAGAAAAGAGUCAUCGACUCCUAAAUCAUUGAACCAAAAUAUUAUAUAAACAUAAUUAACAUUUUCUUAAAAUAUCCACAGAUAUUAGGAUUGUUGGCCACUUCUGUUCGGCCUCCCAAAUGGGCUUUUUCGACUCCUACAAUUACAGCUAAACUUUGGCCUUCCUCUUAGUUGAAUCAUAGAGGUCAAAUGAAAUCCAUCCACACUUUGAGCUAAAGCUGAAACCAAAGGGCUCCAAAGACUUUACUCAAAUCCAAAUCGCACCAAGUCAUCAUACUUGAAAUAAUUAAUCACAUCUACGCUCUCUU